UAGACGCUGAUCUUAGGUCGGUUUUGCGUUUCCACCAGAAAUGGUUAUGGUUAAGAUUGGGUGAGAUAAACCUGAUCCUAGAUCUGAACCUAGGGGAAACUUCCCUCCGUGGUGUGACCGGCAACCAAUGGCCAUUUACAGCAGGGGUCUUUUUUUAUCUAUACUGACUGUGAAGAGUUUCUCAGAAUGAAAAAGCAGAAGUUCUGACAAUAUCUCUGUAGUUUCAGUUUGGCAGAUUUAAUAGAAUAGAAAGAAGAAUAAAAACCCUUCACAUGUAUUAUGACAAAAAGUUCAUAUUUCCACCCUGUCUUUCAGUACAACAUAACAUAAACAUACUGGUUACAUCUAAUGACACAACUCUCUCUGCACUGAUUCCACUGUUCCACAUGACAUCUACCUACAUGAACUAUUAUACAACUCUACAGCUCUACUCUAUUCCACAGGGGGAGAGAAAGCAUCACACAGGUACAGCUGUCGUGUUGGUGACAGAGACCUGGGUGGAUGUAGUACUAACUACAGGUACAGCUGUAGAGUUGGUGACAGAGACCUGGGUGGAUGUAGUACUAACUACAGGUACAGCUGUAGAGUUGGUGACAGAGACCUGGGUGGAUGUAGUACUAACUACAGGUACAGCUGUAGUGUUGGAGACAGAGACCUGGGUGGAUGUUGUACUAACUACAGGUACAGCUGUAGUGUUGGUGACAGAGACCUGGGUGGAUGUAGUACUAACUACAGGUACAGCUGUAGUGUUGGUGACAGAGACCUGGGUGGAUGUAGUACUAACUACAGGUACAGCUGUAGUGUUGGUGACAGAGACCUGGGUGGAUGUAAUACUAACUACAGGUACACGUUCACCACGCUGUCUGUGUGGGUGGACCAUUUCAGUUUGUCCAUGAUGUGAAGCCGAGGAACUUUAAACUUUCCACCCUCUCUACUACUGUCCCGUCGAUGUGGAUAGGGGGCUGCUCCCUCUGCUGUUUCCUGAAGUCCACGAUUAUCUCCUUUGUUUUGUUGACAUUGAGUGUGAGG
Oncorhynchus tshawytscha (Chinook salmon) is the source of this 1029-nucleotide long non-coding RNA. Lineage: Eukaryota; Metazoa; Chordata; Actinopteri; Salmoniformes; Salmonidae. The record is from Ensembl.